This 253-nucleotide non-coding RNA is filed under the name uncultured bacterium. RNAcentral's name for it is "partial 16S ribosomal RNA". It matches the Rfam family "Bacterial small subunit ribosomal RNA", at positions 524 to 776 of the family's 1533-position model. The record is from RNAcentral. RNAcentral also lists the same sequence under 1 other name.
UACGGAGGAUCCGAGCGUUAUCCGGAUUUAUUGGGUUUAAAGGGAGCGUAGAUGGGUUGUUAAGUCAGUUGUGAAAGUUUGCGGCUCAACCGUAAAAUUGCAAUUGAUACUGGCGUCCUUGAGUACAGUUGAGGUGGGCGGAAUUCGUGGUGUAGCGGUGAAAUGCUUAGAUAUCACGAAGAACUCCUAUUGCGAAGGCAGCUCACUAAACUGCAACUGACAUUGAGGCUCGAAAGUGUGGGUAUCAAACAGG